AAUUGAAGAGUUUGAUCAUGGCUCAGAUUGAACGCUGGCGGCAGGCCUAACACAUGCAAGUCGAGCGGCAGCGACUUAACUGAACCUUCGGGGAACGUUAAGGGCGGCGAGCGGCGGACGGGUGAGUAAUGCCUGGGAAUAUGCCCUGAUGUGGGGGAUAACUAUUGGAAACGAUAGCUAAUACCGCAUAAUCUCUUCGGAGCAAAGAGGGGGACCUUCGGGCCUCUCGCGUCAGGAUUAGCCUAGGUGGGAUUAGCUUGUUGGUGAGGUAAUGGCUCACCAAGGCAACGAUCCCUAGCUGGUCUGAGAGGAUGAUCAGCCACACUGGAACUGAGACACGGUCCAGACUCCUACGGGAGGCAGCAGUGGGGAAUAUUGCACAAUGGGGGAAACCCUGAUGCAGCCAUGCCGCGGGUGUGAAGAAGGCCUUCGGGUUGUAAAGCACUUUCAGUAGGGAGGAAGGUAGUGUAGUUAACACCUGCAUUAUUUGACGUUACCUACAGAAGAAGCACCGGCUAACUCCGUGCCAGCAGCCGCGGU
This 540-nucleotide ribosomal RNA is filed under the name Photobacterium damselae. RNAcentral's name for it is "bacterial SSU rRNA". It matches the Rfam family "Bacterial small subunit ribosomal RNA", at positions 1 to 521 of the family's 1533-position model. Lineage: Bacteria; Pseudomonadati; Pseudomonadota; Gammaproteobacteria; Vibrionales; Vibrionaceae. The record is from RNAcentral.